RNAcentral lists this ribosomal RNA (930 nucleotides) under Triticum aestivum (bread wheat). Its description in RNAcentral is "partial small subunit ribosomal RNA". The record is from RNAcentral. Lineage: Eukaryota; Viridiplantae; Streptophyta; Magnoliopsida; Poales; Poaceae.
AUGGCGGGGGUGGUGCAGAGCGUGCAGGCCUUGGCGUCCUCGCUGGGUGCGCUCCCGCCGGAGUUCGUGCGGCCCGAGCACGAGCGGCCGCGCGCCACCACUUUCCGCGGGGCCUCACCGCUGCAGAUCCCAGUGGUCGACAUGUCCUUGCCGGACGCCGGCUGCCGCAUGGUGGAGGCGGCGACGGAGUGGGGGAUCUUCCAGGCGGUGAACCACGGCGUGCCGGCGGAUGCCGUGGCGGAGCUGCAGCGCGUGGGGCGGGAGUUCUUCGCGCUCCCGCAGGAGGAGAAGAUAUGGUCCGACAACUUGUUCCACACCAUCUCACCGCCGGCCGCGGUGAACCACGGCUUCUGGCCGGACAAACCCAGGGGGUACCGUCAGGCCAACGAGGCGUACUGCGGCCGCAUCCUGCGGCUGACGCUGGAGGUACUGGAGCGCCUCUCGGCGGGGUUGGGCCUGGAGGAGGGCGCCAUGGCGGAGGCGUUCGGGGGCGGCGACGACGGCCUGGUGCUCAUUCAGAUGGUCAACUUCUACCCACCGUGCCCGCAGCCAGAGCUCGCGCUCGGCUUCGCGCCGCACACUGACCUGUGCGCGCUCACGGUCCUCGUGGCCAACGGCGUGCCGGGACUCCAGGUGUCCAUGGACGGCCUCUGGUACGACGUCGAGCACGUGCCAGGAGCCCUCAUCGUCAACGUCGGCGACCAGAUCGAGAUUUUUAGUAACGGGAGGUACAGGUCGGUGCUGCACCGGGCGACGGUGAGCAGGGAGAAGACGCGGAUGUCGUGGCCGGUGUUCGUGGAGCCGCGGAGAGAGUACCUCGUCGCGCCCCACCCGCGCCUCGUCGCCGGCGAGAUCCCUGCCAAGUACGACUACAAGGCCAAGACGUUCGAGAACUACAGAUACUGCAGGAUCAACAAGCUACCGCAGUAG